UUCUCUGGAUGAGUUGCGAACGGGUGAGUAACGCGUAGGUAACCUGCCUGGUAGCGGGGGAUAACUAUUGGAAACGAUAGCUAAUACCGCAUAAUAGCAGUUGUUGCAUGACAACUGUUUGAAAGGUGCAAUUGCACCACUACCAGAUGGACCUGCGUUGUAUUAGCUAGUUGGUGGGGUAACGGCUCACCAAGGCGACGAUACAUAGCCGACCUGAGAGGGUGAUCGGCCACACUGGGACUGAGACACGGCCCAGACUCCUACGGGAGGCAGCAGUAGGGAAUCUUCGGCAAUGGACGGAAGUCUGACCGAGCAACGCCGCGUGAGUGAAGAAGGUUUUCGGAUCGUAAAGCUCUGUUGUAAGAGAAGAACGAGUGUGAGAGUGGAUAGUUCACACUGUGACGGUAUCUUACCAGAAAGGGACGGCUAACUACGUGCCAGCAGCCGCGGUAAUACGUAGGUCCCGAGCGUUGUCCGGAUUAAUUGGGCGUAAAGCGAGCGCAGGCGGUUAGAUAAGUCUGAAGUUAAAGGCUGUGGCUUAACCAUAGUACGCUUUGGAAACCGUUUAACUUGAGUGCAAGAGGGGAGAGUGGAAUUCCAUGUGUAGCGGUGAAAUGCGUAGAUAUAUGGAGGAACACCGGUGGCGAAAGCGGCUCUCUGGCUUGUAACUGACGCUGAGGCUCGAAAGCGUGGGGAGCGAACAGGAUUAGAUACCCUGGUAGUCCACGCCGUAAACGAUGAGUGCUAGGUGUUAGACCCUUUCC
RNAcentral lists this ribosomal RNA (764 nucleotides) under uncultured Streptococcus sp. Its description in RNAcentral is "bacterial SSU rRNA". It matches the Rfam family "Bacterial small subunit ribosomal RNA", at positions 83 to 835 of the family's 1533-position model. Lineage: Bacteria; Bacillati; Bacillota; Bacilli; Lactobacillales; Streptococcaceae. The record is from RNAcentral.